Vidua macroura (Pin-tailed whydah) is the source of this 1658-nucleotide long non-coding RNA. RefSeq lists it as uncharacterized. The record is from RefSeq and is a predicted model, not a curated record. The transcript has 3 exons. NCBI's taxonomy places the organism in Eukaryota, Metazoa, Chordata, Aves, Passeriformes, Viduidae.
GUGUACUGGUUAAGGCUGCUUUUGAGUGAACCUUCUUCAAAGAACUUCCCUUGGUCUUUCUUUUGUCUUUCUUACCAGCUGCCUCCAUUGGCAGUCUCAUAGAUAUCCAUGUUGGAAGGCACCCUUGGGAUCAUUGAGUCUAAGCCUUGACUCCACACUGGUUGAGUUACCCUUAAAUCUCUGCAUCAUCGAGGUUGAAAAAGUCCCUGAAGAUCAUACAGUUCAACUGCAAACUUAACACUGCCUACUCCACCCCAAUGCCACAGGUCAGGUCCCCAAAUGCCACAUGCGCAUGAUUUCUAAAUCUUUCUGAGGGUGGUGACUUAGCCAUUGCCCUAGGCAGCCUGUUCCCAAGCUUGAUAUCCUUUUUGUUGAAGGAAUAUUUCCUAGAUCUCUAUCCAAAAUCUGAAUCUCCUGUGGCACAGCUUGAGAUAAUUUCCUCUGGUCAUAUUGUUUGUUCCCUGGGCUAAUAUAAUAAACCCCACUUAGCUAUAACCUCCCUUCAGGGAUCAUCUGCAUCUGUCACGUGCAGACGUUUGAGCUGUGAAACCAGCUGCUCCCAAAGAAGAGAAAGGUGCUUCUUUUACACAAUGUUUCCUAUGAUCCAAAUGCAAAAGGACAAAAUGUGUUCUCGGUGGUCAGAAGUUUCAGGCUGUCAGGAAACGUUUCUAUGUGGGGAAAACCUUUCUGCCAAGUACGUCAGCUGAGGGAAUCCAUACCCUUCCAAGCAGAAGGAAAAAUCCUAACUCUCCUUGUAGAAAAUGUGAAAGUUUGGAGUGAAACUCAGUGCUAGAAUGUGCCAGGAUAUCCAUGUGGAUUUUACUAACCUGCAAGGCCAGACUGUGAAGAUGGGAUCCCGGAAGCCAAGAAAUGCCCUCUUGUUCUGGGGCUUUCUAUUGCACUGGCAGCACAAGUUUGCCAAGGCUGUUUGGUCUCAGCCCAGGCAAGAGCAGAAAGAAGCCCUCACCUGGCUUCAUAGACCCCUGAGAUGAGCAAAGAUGAGGAGUGUGCAGAGAAGGUAGACCGUCAGCACUGCACAGCAGCUUCUCUCAGCUGUAAAUCACAGACAUUUUAAACACUAAAGUUAUGGUUUGGGGUUUGUGUUGUGUUUUGCUUGGAACCUUUUGCCCCACAGGAAAACCUGUGGCAUUUUCCGUGUUGCACACCUGGAUUUGAAUGGUCCACUCUCGGUGCUGCCUAGAUCGAACUCAAAAUUGUUCCUUUACCCCUCUCUUUCCUCUGUUAUGAAGUGUCACUUCAAAGGGUUGAUGGGUAAUACCACUUCUCUUUUCUCAUCUUGUGCUCAGGAACUAGGAGAGCCACCGCUCCCCCUCCCCUGCCCCAGAGCUUGAUCCUAAAAGGUUUCUGCAGUAGGGUAACACGGUCAUGUUGCCAGUAGCUCAGCUGCCAGCACCAGUGGUAGUGCCCAAAUCUCGUUCCACCACUGCAGGAGCUCUCCGCCCCCCCAUCUUGUCCAGAUCUGCAGCUUAUUUAAAUGUUGAGGUUUUUAUCUAGCUCCCUGAAUAAAUAAACAAUCCUAUGGCACAGGGAAAUUGAGGCUGUAAUUUAGGGAUCAAACAGCAGGUAGGGACAGGACUGGUUUAAGGUAACCUAAAUAAAUUAAUCUAACUACAGGUGUUGUGGAAAGAGGUAGUUGU